RNAcentral lists this ribosomal RNA (253 nucleotides) under uncultured bacterium. RNAcentral's name for it is "partial 16S ribosomal RNA". It matches the Rfam family "Bacterial small subunit ribosomal RNA", at positions 524 to 776 of the family's 1533-position model. The record is from RNAcentral.
UACGUAGGGGGCAGGCGUUGUCCGGAAUCAUUGGGCGUAAAGAGCGCGUAGGCGGUCCGGUAAGUCCGCUCUGAAAGCCCGGGGCUCAACCCCGGGAGGCGGGCGGAUACUGUCGGGCUAGAGUCCGGAAGAGGCGAGUGGAAUUCCUGGUGUAGCGGUGAAAUGCGCAGAUAUCAGGAGGAACACCGAUGGCGAAGGCAGCUCGCUGGGACGGUACUGACGCUGAGGCGCGAAAGCGUGGGGAGCAAACAGG